Molecule: long non-coding RNA, 274 nt
Filed under: Carica papaya (papaya)
Lineage: Eukaryota; Viridiplantae; Streptophyta; Magnoliopsida; Brassicales; Caricaceae
Description: long non-coding RNA (CPAP_LNC009831)
Source: RNAcentral
ACACUUGUAAACUUCAUUACAUUAAUCGAGUUAGUCCACAAGACUUUUAUCCCAUCUUAUUAAUCCAUUCAUAAUAGUUUAAACCUCGAUAGAAUAGGUUCUGUGGUUAAAUUAUCAUAAAAAUAAAGGUCAUUAUAUUUAGAGUUGUAGGGAUCAUACUUUAAGUUUUUACAAGUGGCCUUUUUUGUCAACUCCUAUAUCAGUUUUGGCAAUUAUCUUAGGUUUAGUUAGCUUGCUCUCAAACUUUUUAUCUUAGCACCCCCAAGCAUCACUU